AAAUCUCUCUCUCUUUCUCUCUGUCACACUCUUUAUCACUCUCUGCUCUCACAGAUCGGAGAAUCUCCUCUGAGAGCUCUAAUCUCUCAGCUUUCUUCACCGGCGUCUCCGG
RNAcentral lists this small RNA (112 nucleotides) under Arabidopsis thaliana (thale cress). Its description in RNAcentral is "ATSL114200". The record is from RNAcentral. Lineage: Eukaryota; Viridiplantae; Streptophyta; Magnoliopsida; Brassicales; Brassicaceae.